UAUGGCCAUACCACCCUGAACACGCCCGAUCUCGUCUGAUCUUGGAAGCUAAGCAGGGUCAGGCCUGGUUAGUACUUGGAUGGGAGAAAGAAAGAAAGUACUUGGUUAAACACAUAC
Molecule: ribosomal RNA, 117 nt
Organism: Erinaceus europaeus (western European hedgehog)
Lineage: Eukaryota; Metazoa; Chordata; Mammalia; Eulipotyphla; Erinaceidae
Source: Ensembl